AUAACUAAGCGGAGGAAAAGAAACUAACCAGGAUUCCCCCAGUAACGGCGAGUGAAGCGGGAAGAGCUCACGUUGUAAAUCUGACUUCGGUCCGAAUUGUAGUCUGGAGAGGCGUGACCAGCUGGAGUCGGGGGCGAAGUCUCUUGGAAAAGAGCAUCAAGGAGGGUGACAAUCCCGUUCUUCCCCCGCGCUCCACGCGUACGGUCCGUUUUCUACGAGUCGAGUUGCUUGGGAUUGCAGCUCAAAGCGGGUGGUAAAUUCCAUCUAAAGCUAAACACGGGUGGGAGACCGAUAGCGAACAAGUACCGUGAGGGAAAGAUGCAAAGAACUUUGAAAAGAGAGUUAAAGAGUGCCUGAAAUUGCUGAAAGGGAAGCGAAGGAAACCAGUGUCUGGCGGUUCCGCUUCUCCUUGGCCCCUCGGGGCCUUGGUUUGCGUUUCCGCCGUGGCCAGGGCCGGGUAGUGUUGCGGGAGCCUGCGCUUCGGAAGGUAGCAUCUCUUCGGAAUGUGAAGACCGUGGCGUGUCGUCGCGACGCUGGCUGGUUCUGACGAAAUGGUUUUCUUUAC
Molecule: ribosomal RNA, 565 nt
Filed under: Adenocystis longissima
Lineage: Eukaryota; Phaeophyceae; Ectocarpales; Adenocystaceae
Description: LSU rRNA
Rfam family: Eukaryotic large subunit ribosomal RNA
Source: RNAcentral